AUUCACUAGGAUCCUUACAAAUCACAGCUAAAGAGAGUAAAUUUCGAUAUACAUGCAUCUGAGUUUGUUGACCCAAUCAUUUCUUCACGCAUGCAUAGCCAAAUGGGCCAAUUCCCGGCUCAACCUUGUCUUGGCCGUUCAUAAAGGGACAAAUACAAGAAUCCUGUUUUGCAGCCCCAGGGAACAGUGCCUCUCAAUCUAGGACUUCUCAUUGUUCUACUUACCUUAUUUGUUCCGUUUUUUCUUUCUUCUCCUGCAUCAUAAAUUCAUAAUAUCAAAUUUCAUAAGACAGACAUAUUUCAGGGUGGUUAUUGUGGAUCAAUUAUUCUGCUAUAUUUAUGUGGUUCUACUUCCAUGAUGAUGAAUUUUUAAAUCAUAAGCUUUUGUUAUCCUCAUUUUCUAGCAUUCCAUUAGUCUAGUUUUAGGCAGAUUUGAAGUUUUUCCUUGCAUAAGGCCAAUCAGAGUUGAAACAAUGCUUUUUUAGUUUCUGAUGUUUAAUUGUUUCUCUGCGCCUUACAGCUUGCUGGUUCGAUUAGACAUAAAAUGAUCCCCAGAGCUACUGUAUUGCUGGUUUAUUAUGAAAGCAGAUUUGGUCACUGGUGGCUGUGCCAGAACUUACGCCCCACACGAAUGCAGGUCAUAUUAAUAUAUCAAUUCUAAUGUUAUAUCCCUUGUUCCUUGAUGUAAUCACUUUCUUCAUUGUAAAACAGAAUUUAUGGGAGAAAAAAAUCAACUUUGCAAUUUGUAGAUAGUAGAAAUGGGUCUCUGGGCCUUGUUUAUUUGAAGCUGAUGUCCGACCCUUGUUAUACUUUUUCUUCAGUAAAAAAAUUCCAGUUUUAGGGUGGAUUUCUUUCAUGAAGGUUGCAAAUAAUGUGCUAGACUUGUUUUACUUAUCUCCCUAGUGAUAAUUGGUUUGAAUCUUAAACACACUCAACAAAAUUCCAAAUCAUAUUUGCUUAAUAUGGAUGUGAUUUUUACUCUUUGAAGGUGUCUGCCAAAGGUACCAAGAACUUGAUUUCAUAAAAUAUCAGUACUUUGAAGCUAAAAACAUCCAGACUUUAAAGUGAUAGUUUUUUUUUCCCGAAAUCACGAGAUAACAAGACAAAAUGGAAGCAAAAGCAGAUAACAUUACAUCUGAGGAAAUAAUAAUAUCGUCGUUGUUGCAGUCUUGUCCAUUUGCAUGAAGCUAGUUCUAUUCAAAACCCAGAUCAAAGAACACAAACUUGUUCCAAGCAUAAAACAUUCAACCGUAGUUUACAGUUGGUAAUUGAGGGUGUUGUCCUGGGGGGCAGGUGUGAAAUUCCAUUUUCUGAGAAGAAAACUUUCUUUGCCCAAACAACCUGUAUCAGAAACCUAGUGGCCAUGCCACGGGGUGAAUUUAAAAGCUGGAUUGUGGUAAACCCUGAUAUUCUUCCUCUCCUCUAUCUAUCUCCAGUCUGUCACUUAAAGCAAUGCAGCAUUUAUUCAAGUCUUCUUAUUGUGUCAUUUCCCCCCAAUCAAUGGUGAUAGUGGAAAAAACAAGAAGGUUCCUGGAAAUGGUUGGAGAAUCAAAAUGCAAAUUUCCAUUACCAGUAAAACGAAUAAUCUCUAUACUUGGAUUGAAAAGAAUAGAGAGAAAAUGAAGAUAAAAGAGCUGGGGCCAUUGGGGCUCAACAAAAGUCACCACAAUUACCUUGUUAAAAGGUACCUAUCAUGAACCUGGAUCUAAAUUACAGUCAUAAUAAUAAUUCCAAAAUGGGAUAAGGUGAAAAAGUUAAAUAAAAAAAGAGGGAGGAAAAAAAUGGAGGAGGCAGAGCCAGGGAAGAGGCAGUGCAUGGGCGGAGAAACAACAGAAUCAGUUGGUAGAUCCAUCCAUGCUCAGCCUGUUCCCUGUCUUUGUCUGUCUCUCCCAUCUUUCUCACUCUCUCUCAAUAUUGACUGUUACCUCAUCUUGUUUUGCCUCUGUUGGAAUGCCCCCAAAGAAACCUGCCACACUGAUGUCUAUGGCUCUAUGCUCUCAUCUGAGCUAUUUAAGCUAAACCCCCCAAUAACGUUUACAGUACAACUUGUACUAAACGGACCCUGUACUACAGUACUAGCAACUUCUUUGAGUGCCUGUUGAACAUAAAAGAACCCUUUUUGGUGGGAUGAAUUUGUACUACACUUGUAUCUGCUAGUACUCUCAUAUUCUCCAAUGAUACGAUGACUCUUACCAAAUAAAUUACUUCCAUAAAAGAAUUUAGUGAUUCCGUUAGCCUAAUGCAUCCACUUCAAAUCUUUGAAUAAACAGAUUCAGCUUGUCUUGCAGAUUUCAAAUGGUAAUGUUGGAUUAUGAUGAAAAUCAAUCAAGUAUGGUUGCAUUGAUUGAUAAGAACAAUUCGUAUUCUAUCUUUUUGGAGGAUAUUGGUUUCUUUAUGUAAAAAAAGGAUUAUUAGAGGUAUUUGGAAAAGGGGGAGCUGGUGGUGAAAUUCAGAUCAAAUGUUGGCUGCCGAUCUAAGAAAUCCACAUGAACUAGAAUUAGGCCGAGCAACCUUAUAACCAUCCAGCUUAUUGCACCAAGACAAUCACGAUAUGUAAGCUUUUGAUCAACAAUUUAAUUUUGUUCCUUUACUUUCAUUUAUCAACUUAAAUAAAUCAAUUUAAACCAAAAUUUACCCUGUUCUUUUUUGUUAAUCAACAAACUUGCUUAUGUUGAUUUAAAUUGUUUAAAAUUCAUUUAAAAGCCGAUUUACUAUUAAAUCAUUAUAUAUUAAUAGAAUUAUUAUCUGGGCGCUUAUUUUAUUUAUUUAUUUAUUUAUAGUAUAUUUGAUUAUAUCUAAAAUAUAAUAUAUAUUUUAAUAUUUGUGAACAUAUUUAUUUAUUGUUCAUGAAAUAUUUGUUUAAUUUAAACGAAUAAAUAUAAACGUACAUAAUUUUGAACAAAUGAACACAAAUAUAAAAUUGAAAUUCUUAGCAAGAACAGGUUUAAAAAUAAACAAACAUAGGUUGAUUAACAGCCUUAAUCCAAAAUUCAAACUUUCAAUAAAAUUUGAUUCCGAAGUUGUUUGUUUGAAAUUAAAUUAAAACUAGAACAAAUAAAAAUUGAAGGAUUUGAAUUGAAGAAUAAUAAAAAAGGAUAAAGAAACUAAAUAUAAGUAAAACUGAAAGAAAUGAUCAAAUUUGUCUUAGUAACCACGAUUAUCAGACAAGUUUCAAAAAAAAAAAAACAGAGUUUAACCUAGUUCUACAUAAAUGAACCAAUCAAUUUCAAGCAUAAUUAAAGAAUUGUAUAAUAUCUCUAAUAAUCAAAUAUAAACUUAUCAAAAUCCGUAGUUAAAUAUGUGUAUAGGUGGGACCAUAUAAGAGCUAAACUCAUCAUUUAAUCCAACAAAUACAUUUAUUUAGAAAGUUGAAGAGUGAGUGAAGAUAAUUUGUAUUACGGAUCCCUCAAUUCCACCUGUAAGAUCUCUAAGCUACUCGAACAAGCAAAGAACUUUUGCGAACAAAACCAAAAAGAAGGUAAAAGGAAGCAUCAUCUACGAAUAUGUAUUUACUUUUCAUUAUAUAUAUUUCAAAAGUGGGGAUGAUGAAUACAUAGGCAACAAAGAAUUUACAAUUCAAAUAUGAAUGAGAUCAGAAGCAUCUCGUUGCCCUUUCUCUCUUUUCUGAUUCCAUUUCCUUUUUAUAUAUCACAAUAUAAAAGUAAAAAAAUUGGGAUUUCUAACCUGAAUGAAUGUACAACUCCCCCAUGCAAAUGCCCUUUUCCAAGAACAAGUCUAGAGAAUCUCUAGACAAAUGAAUAUAGUUCACUUGGUCUGUUGAAUAUCACAUUUGAUAUUUUAAGAGAUCAGGAAGAGUGAUUUUCCCAGAGUUAUUUGUAUCAAGCUUGCUGAACUGAUUGCAUAUCUGCAAUAUAUCCUUCUCCCCAACCUUCCCCAUUUCUUUGAGCUUGUAAAUGACAUACUCCGAUUUACUGCAACCAGAAAUUUUAAGGUGGAACAUGAACAACAAAAGCAUCACAAGCAAAAGAACUACAAACAAGCCCCAUUAGUCUGCUAGAAAAUAAAUAAACAUCCUCAUGAAUUCAUAGACUACAAGCCCUUUAAUUUCAAACAAGCAACACAUAGAGUUCAUUCCAAAAUGAGCUAGAAAGAUAGAAACCCGACCUGAUAAAACCAUUGUUGUUUAUGUCAGCAGCUAGCAAAUCCUCAAUAGUGAUAUCCCUAUGUAGUACCCACUUGGCAAUCCUCCUAUGCCGCUUGUUAACCCUUGCUUCAGCCAAAUACAGGAAAGCUCUAGCAACGGCCAGCGUCGAAAUCAAGAGCCAAACACCAGCAAACAAGCGUCCAGGCAGAGUCUUAAAGGCCCUGUCCCCAUAUCCAACUGUGGUAACAGACAUAACAGACAAGUAAAUAGAAUCAACCCAGUCCAAGCUCUCCACAAAGUACAAAAUCAGAGAUCCAAUCCCAAUACACAACACCACAACCCCAAGUGCCAAACUGACUUUAAGCCUAAUCCUCAUCCUUCCUUUGUCCACAUCAACAAUGUAAUCCCUAGCUGAAAACCCUUGUUGUGAUUUCUCCAUCUGAAUCCCAGUUAAUAUCAUGUUCUCUUGCAGGUCGAGGACAUAAUUCACAACCCCACUCAACAAUAUAUCAAUAAAACCAAAACCCACCAACACAAACACACAAGCAAAAAUCUUGGUAGCUGGGGUUAAAGGAGCUAUAUCACCAUAACCAAUGGUGCACAUAGUGACUAUACAGAAGUAGAGAGCAUCAACAACCGGGUGAGUCUCGAUACCCGAGAAUUCAUCUCUGUUAAACGAAUAAAUAACAACACCGAGAAUUAAGUAAAUGGAAAGCAAGAAAACAGCUUGCCUGAUAAUGGAGCUGGACUCGGAUUGAGGUUUAGGCACUUGGGGUGUUUUGGGCUUCAAAUCACGCAUGACAGCCAUGGCCGGAGCCGUUUUACAUCGCUUGAGAGAACCGGGCUUCUUUGACCCUGUACUAGGAACAGGAUAAUCAAAACGGGGAGGGGGUUGAAUCUGCGGGUGGUCCUCGAUUUCAGAUUGCAAGAGGGCUGGUGUUGAGAUUGACUGUGGGAUUGUGAGAUAAAAGCCAUGAUGAGAGUCAUCAAGGAUGUGCCGAAAUUCGGGUUUUGAUUGGGGGGAGAGAAAAGGCUCAUCUGCCAUCUCAGAAAGCAGAAAACCCACACAACAGAAAAAGAAGCCUUUUACUUUUUUGCGUCUUGAAGAUCGUGGUGGUUGUUGAGAGGAAGUUGGCUUCAGGUUUAAACUUUCAAUAUUGUGACAUUGCUUUUAAGGAACACACUCUGCUUUCUCUUCAGUCAAAUAAAAAUUAAAAUUAAAAUAUUCACAUUGCACCUUAUAUACUAUAAUCCUUGUUUGGACGCAAUAUGGAUUAUGUUGCUUCAUUUAGUAAAAUGGUAUAAUUAGGUUCCAAUUAACAACAUUCUUACAUCCACUAUCACUAUUUUAUUCCUAUAAAUACUAAACCAUCCAUUCUUUGUUUACUGAUCUCAUUUCUCUUGCUUUUCUACUUCUUAUCCACUUUAGACUUAAAUAUCAAUAAUAAUAUUGUUUUGUGUAGACAAAUAAACCAUAUUCUUUUAAAAUAAAUCUAAAUAACUUCAGUUUUAUACCUCUUUGAUGAGUUAGUGCAAUAAUAUAGGAUUUUCUUUUCAUCAAUGUUAAAAUAGUUGUAAUUUCUCUAUUUGGUAUGUAAAAUUGCUAUUUAUAAUUCUUUUUCAACUCUUAAAUAAGAGGAUAAAACACGUUUAAAUACAUUUAAACUCUUAUCCUCUUCUAGUGACAACAAUACUCAUGUCAACCAAGUUAAGACUUAAUUGAUUGUAUGUAAAUUUGUUGAAGAAGUAAAACUAAUAAUUACUUUAUGAGUCUUGAUUUGAAUAAAGAAAUGAUUAAAUCUAUUAUCAAAUAGAUAUUUGACAUGGGCACGAACUAAGCUACCUUUGUCCCCUAUCUCUGUAUAGAAAAAAGUAUAUCUUUAUGAAAUAUAACUUUUGCCCAAAGGAAAAAAUUCCAAUAAGGAGUUAUUUUAUAAUAUUUUUUAAAUAUAUAUAUAUAUAUAUCAAAUAUAUUACUUUUUAUUAAAUUAAAUAAAAUUUAUUUUUUAAAAAAAUUUAAUAAAAUUAUUUAAUAAAACAUUUCAUCAAAUAAAAUAUUUUUACAAAAUAAAACGCAAAAAGAAUUUUAUUGAAAAAGAAUUGAAAGUUGGGAAUCAUUUAAAAAAAAUCAAAUGUAUUCCUUAAAAAUAAUGUUAGAAGUGCAGGAGAAAAAACAGAAUUGUAAUAUUAAUUUCUGAGUAAGGACCUAAAAAAAGGGGGGAAAAACUUUUAUAGUAGAAUUUACAAUGUGUAAAAACAUUUUAAAUGAUGUAAUAGGCAUCGAGAUUUAAUAAUAAAAAAAUAAAUUUUUAGUACCAAACUCGUUUGAUAUGGAUUUUUAUAACGUGAUCUCAUCUCUUAUUGUUAAUAUUGUAUAAAAAAUGUAUUAUAAUGUUAAUACCAAUGCUAAGGCAUUUAUAAUUUAUCAUCGUAUUAUUCAAUAUAAAAUUUAGUAAGUGUAAUUUGUCCUACUAUUAUAAAUUAAACCAAUUGAAAGCCACCUAACAUAACUUACUGUGCACGCGCUAUUGGGCAAACUUUAUAGUUUUCCAUCUGCCAAAUUGAACUUGAAAGCCAAGAUGAAGAUUAGUCUAGUUUUAAAUACAGAUAUCCAAUAUAAGGUUUUACAUAUAUAAGGACGGGUGUCUGUUAAAAGGGCAAUCAUCAUUUUCUUUGCCAUAUUCUUUACCAAUGGCGCUGUGUGUUAUGAGAUCAAGGCGAAGCCUAGUGACUCCAUCUCAGCAAACACCAUCUGGCAAGCUUGACUUGUCAUUCAUUGAUAAAGUGCCGGUUCUAAGAUGCUAUACCCGCACAUUGCAUGUAUACAAACAUGGCCCUGAAGCAUCAAAGGUCAUUAGGGAAGCCUUGUCCAAGGCCUUGGUGCCUUACUAUCCACUUGCUGGACGGCUAAAAGAGCCCGAUAACAAUCAGCUUCAGGUUGAAUGUUCGGGAGAAGGUGCCUGGUUCGUCGAGGCAUCAGCUGAUUCUAGCCUUCAUGCAUUCAAUUACUUCGACGAUGCUAAUUUUGACAUUCCUUAUGAUGAACUUCUUCCUGAUCAAGUUCCUAAAAGUGAAGGCAUGGAACCUCUUGUACAAAUGCAGGUACCAGAAUUUUGAAUUUAAACCAACAAUGAUAGUAAUGUGAUUAAGCCUAAUGCAGGCAUUGUGCAUGGGUUUUUCUUUUCAUUAGGCAUCGUGCAUGGGUUUUUCUUUUUCUUUGUCUCAGGUGACACAAUUUGCAUGCGGAGGUUUCGUCAUAGGGUUAAUAUUUUGCCACACCAUAUGCGAUGGCUUAGGAUCUGCACAGUUCCUAAACGCUGUAGGGGAGUUCGCGAGAGGCAUAGAGCAUCUAAGCGUUGAGCCGAUGUGGCAAAGGGACUUUUUUCCAACUCCAACACAAGAUGCAAAUGUUAUCCAAUUGGCAAACUUGCCAGUGCCACCACCCCCGAUGCCUGCCAAGCCGCUAGAGCAUGUGAGCAUUGAUAUUUCCAUGGAUGAAAUCAAUCAGCUAAAGAAACAAUUCCAUGAAUCGACGGGGCAAACUUGCUCUGCUUUCGAAAUCGUGGCUGCUAAUUUUUGGAGCCUUCGAACAAGAGCAAUAAACUUGGAGCCAGGUACUGAAGUCCGGCUUCUUUUCUUUGCAAAUUACCGUCAGCUAGUGGAGCCUCCUUUGCCUAAAGGCUUCUAUGGCAACUGUUUCUUCCCGAUAACAAUCACAGCUCCCUGCGACUUGCUUAAACAAGCAUCAGCAAUCGAAGUGAUUAAACUGAUACGAGAAGCCAAGACUAAGCUACCUUCUGAGUUUGGUAAGUUCAAGAAUGGAGAUUACUUGAGAAAUGGGAAGGACCCAUUUCUAGCACCUCUAGGGUACACCACUUUGUUUAUAUCGGAAUGGGGUAGGUUGGGGUUCAACCAGGUUGACUAUGGGUGGGGCCCUCCGGUCCACAUGGUUCCAAUUCCGGGUUCUAGCAUCAUCCCUGUUGGCAUCAUGGGAUCGUUGCCAUUGCCUAGAAAGGGUGUCCGCUUGAUGACAUGGUGUGUUGAUAAAGACCAUACCCAGCCCUUCGUUGAUCUGAUGACGAAACUAGUCUAACAAGUUACCAAUGCUUGAAGUCUUGAACUGCUAUUGCUUUACCCAACGCCAAUGUCUAAAAUAAAACAACACAGCGCCACCACAUGUUCAAAACAUUUGUGGUUUUUAUUUAUUCCGUUUAAUAACAUUGUAUUUGGUAUUAUCUUGAUCUUCAAAAUCAUCUUUUUAUUAAAAUUAUCUCAUUCACUUGUGGUCAUUUUCAAAUAAAAUUAUUAUUUCUCAAUAAGUAAAUGCCAUUGUGUUUAGUUUUAUUAGAAAGCAAUUUUAUUUUAUUUUUUUUUAUGUUUUGUUCAUAUUUGAGAUUUGAGAUUACCCUUCCCAUCAAUAUUAUUUUUUUAUAGUAAAAUAAUCAUAAUAUAAGAAUUACAUAAUUAACUAUAUAUAUAUUUUUAGAAAACUAUUGAUGGUUUAUUUACUUUAUAAUAAUAUAUAACUAAAUUAAGGCUAUGCUUGUUUCAUUAAAAAUGGUUUUCGAAAAAUAAUUUCUAGAAAAUGACUUAUCUUUUUGGAAUAGUUGAUAUUUUCUGGUGUUUGGAUGAAUCUGUGUAAAAUAUUUUCUAUUGUUUAGUAGAGUUCUUGCAAAUAUUUCAUAAAAUUUGUUUUCAAUGAAAAAAACAUACAUUUGAGAUUUUAUUAUCUUUUCAUUGUUUAAUUGAGUUUAUUUCAUAAAGCUUAUUUAUAUUUUAAUUAAUCAUGUUUUAGUUUUAUGUAAUCUUAAUAGUUUUAUUUAAUCUUAAUUUACUUAAUUAAGCUUAAUUGUUAAUUUCAUACAUUAGGGCAUAUAAAUUUAUGUUUAAUUAAGUUGAAAGUGGCAAAUAUAUCAUUUUUAAUAUUAUUUGGAUGAGUAGGUUAAAAAAAUGAUUUAAUUUGAUAAAAAUUGAAGUAAGUAAAUUAUAUGAUUAUGAAAUAUGAAAUUUUGGAAAGUUGAGCAUAACAUAGUAAAGUUUGAAAUUAUAGGGGUUAAAUUGUAAAGAUUUCAAAACUUGAGUUUUAGGACAAACUUACAUUAUUUGAGAAUUUAAAAUUUUGGAAAAUAGAAUAUGAAAGUUUAACUGUUCAAAACUCAAGGACUAAUUUUUGGAAAUUUUGACAAUUUUAGUUGUAAGGACUAAAUUAUUAAAUCUGAAAAUUUUAGAAAAUGGACUAUUUUGCAAAACUAUACAAAACGAGGUUUAGGAUUGAACUGUGGAAUAAGAAAAUCUGUUUUUGAGGAAUUAAAUUGUAGACUAGUAAAAAUUUGGAUUUUAAGGACUAAAUCAUAAAAAAUAUAAAAUUGAAAUACAAUGGGCUAUUUUAUUCGACAGUGAAGAGAGCUUCCCCUCUGUUGCUUUGAAAACUUCCCCUUUUUAUUUCUUCGACAAUGAAGACAUUGAACAAAAUCUUAUCUGCUUAGAAAAUGUCUUACGAAAAAAAAAAUUGGUAUUACAAUCUUCACUUAUCUAUUAUAUUGCUCAAUACAUUCAUGAAUAAUAUUACUAAUUUUGUCAGCUCUAAUAGUUACCAUGAGUAUUUACUAAUUAUUUUUUGGAAGAAAAAAAUAAUACCUACAAUCUACAAUAAAGUAGAAGGUAAAAAAAAAGGCUAAUCAGUUACUUCUUUCAUCACCCCAAACAAGCCAAUAUUAGCGCUAAGAGUGCGAAAAUGUAACUCGCUGUUUACAAAACUAUUCGGAGUUCUUAGAGCUCCUUGUAAAGCUUGUUGGAAAAUUCAUUGUCGAGCUUGAUUAAUUGCUCUUUGUUGUUCAAAAUAAAUGAUUUCAUUUUUGUAAUUUUUUAAUUCAAAAUCUUAUAAAUUGAAUUAACCAAAUUCAAUUUUUCUCGUUCUAUUUCAGAGAAAGCUUUGAUUUUACUCUCUUUUUAGAGAAUAAUUUCUUUUGAUCAUUUAUUUUUCACUAAACAAAUACUGUAAAAUAAUGAAAAUAUUUUACGAAAAAUAUUUUACAUGCAAAACAAAUAGACCAUGGGUAAAUUUUUUUAAAUAUAAAUUACGUUAAAAUAAAAAUAGUUUAUUAUAUAUAAAAGUAAAAUGUGUGCAAACUGCAAAAUCCGAGGGGUGCCAGCCAUACUUGAACUACUAUUUACUGGUGGCCGACUUAUACAUAAUAGUUGUCUGGACAGUUGGCCCAUUAGUGUAAGAUUUGUUAAUUUGAAUAAACUCGAAGCCCAAAACUGACUGAUUUAGGUCAUGAGUUGCAGUGUAGACAAUACCAUUGAAGGUGGCCCAUACCCAGAUGAUAAUCGAAUAUUGAUGGUAAUGAUUUGAUUUCCUCGAUAUUUUUUAAAGAUUAAAAGAAAAUAAUGUUUUAUCAUCAAAUCGAUCCCAUGUGCCUGGUGGGAAUCAAUGCUAUUCUCAACUUGAGAUUUGGAUUUUUUUGUCCAUUUUGCGGAUGGCAUUGGAAAAUUCCGCCCAAACUCACCGGAGACGGAUGAUAAUGUCAAAAUGCACCCAAACUCUUAUUUUUCUUGGUGGGUUAGUCGUUUUAAUGUCAUCGAGGGCGAGGCGACUACAAUGGGAGUUUUAUUAGGGAAUGAUUUUCUUCCAGAAUUCUUGUUUUACCACUUCAAUGCUCUCAUCAUGUAAGACUUUAAAAUUUCAUCCAUAUGUGAAGACAUGAAUUUUAAAUAAACGAAAAAGGAAAAUCAUCAAAAUUAAAUUAUUAAAACCUUAUUUCCCUCUCAAAAGACGUGAUUGAUCUAAGUAAUUGUAGUUAGUGGUAGAGUCAAGAAGUUGGUAACCGCUCGAUUUUCCUAAAUUAAAUUUUUUUUAUAAUUUAUAAAAUUUGAAAUUAAUAAUAAUAAAAUUGUAUUUUAUUUCUUCAAAAAUGAUAACAGAUUUAUCCAAACACUAAAAUAUACUAACUUUUCCAAAAAAAUAAAUUUUUUUAGUGAAAUUAUUUUUCAAAAACCAUGUCGAAUGAAAUAAGCGGAGCCUAAAUAUAAACAUCAUAUAGUAUAUUAAGCCAGCAACAAUAUUAGCACAUGCAACGAUUGCCUUUUGGUUUUCAUUCACAACGUGAGGAGCCUCUGACGUAUCCUUUGGUGUACUGCAGGCCCAUAUUAGGUGAGGAAAGUAGGUAAGGCAUUUAGGAACCAGUUGAUGUUUAUAUGAUGGAAUCCUUACCUAUGAUAACCCAACGCGAACAUUUUAUCCUACUAAAUAUUGCCAAUUACAUGUCGCCUUUCUGUUGCAACCGGCCAUAUGCCAUUUGGUACCUGCUUCAGCUCGUUUGUCUCCAUUUGAUUUCUAAUUUUUUUUAUCAAUUUAAUACUUAAAUUUAGUUUUAAUGUUUUAUUUGAUAAUUGAGUUUUUUUUUAAAUUGAUACUUAAUAUUUUUUUCUGCACAAUUAUUUAAAUUUAACUUCAGUAUUCAAUUUGAUACAUUAAUUUUUCUUUUAAAAUAUGAAAUUUAUUAAGAUAUAUCAUAAAAAAAUUAAAACACCAAGAGUAAAAUAUACACAACAAAACUAUAAUAUGUGCAUUAAAAUUUAUAUAAAUAAAUUUUAAUUGAGCCAUUAAUUACAAAAAAUCCGAAAGUAAACUAAAAUUAACGGGAAUAUGAUGCAUAUAAACGAACAUGCCAAAAUCUACAUGAAUCAAAUUGUUAAUGUAUAAAAAUUAUAAUAAUUUGAACACACAUGUAUGUAUGGCCCAGUCUUAAAUUGUUUUUUAAACUUUGAAAUAUUCUAAUUGAAUCUUGAAAGUAUCAAUAUCACAUCAAAUAUGCUCUUUUAUUAGUCUAGUCAUUAGUUCGGGUGUUAAAUGCUAAUUUAAAAUUGAUGUGGAGCAUAUUUAAAAUAUGUUGAUCAAAUUAUAAACAUAUAUGUAACUAUUGCAUGAAUAACUCAGAUUUAAUGUUUUUAAUUAGAAAAAAAAAUGACCCUCUUGAUACAAUUUAUUUUUCAUAUUUAACAUGUUUAUGUGAUAAGUACACACGUUUUAACAAUUUGUUCACCGUAUUUAAAAUAUACUCAAUGUCAAAUUCAAACUAAUUUCAAUGUCUAAUCUAACAUAAUGACAUGAUUGAUAUAAUAUUAAUAUUUUGAAAUGGGAGUGGACAAGUUAGAAGUGGAAGGCAAAGCAUUAACAAUUAUAAAGAAAAGUCGGUCCAUAGCCAUUGGCAAAUUAGAAAUAAGUGCAUACAUCAGAGACAUUCAUCACAAGAGGAUUUCAAAGCAUUCAUUUCAAACAUGUACAAAGAUCAACCAACAUAAUUGUUGUUCCAAUAGGGUCGGAAGCGUGUAAAUUAUUGUACUAAAAAAAUCACACAAAGUUCAAUUCCCAGGGAAGAGAGGUGGAUCACAUGGAUCUCUUAAAUACCAAGUCUUUCCUUAGACAGAAUAUCCCUUCUAUAGUAAUUUAAUAGCACAAUUAAAUACUACUAUUAUACCCUCAAAUAUUGAAAGAAAAAUAGGACAAGAAAGAACACAAGAGUUUUAACGAGGUUCGGUAAAUUAUACCUACGUCCUCGGGCACUAACACCAAAUGAUAACUUUACUAUCUUCAAAGUAUUACAAACAAAUAGAAUUCCUUAAGAAUUCUCAAAUGGGAGAAAAAGAAAACUAAGAGAGAAAGAUUGGUUGGGAUGAAUUGAAAUGAGAAAUGAGAAGGCCUAUUUAUAGUUGAGGUUCAAGGACCAAACAAUAAAUAGCCCAUUAUCUCAAGGACCAAAAAAAAAUUAUCCCUUGCCACUUUUCUAAAGUUGGUGGUUGUCAUUAUUGAUUGUCUCCCAUUAAUGUUAAUGGCAACCAUUAUUAAUUGUCUUCCAUUAAUGUUAACAAUCUCCACCUUGAAGAUUUGAUUAGGAUAAUCACAUCUUCACACACUUCCUUCAACUCCCCAAAUUCGAUAAAGCUAUCUUUUGUAGUGCCUACAAAUGCGCUCUCGAGCGCCAUACACCUGAAGGUGCUCAAAUUCUCAGGAUUUUAAUCAAGUUCAAACAAUGAUUAAACUUGAUUGUUAUUACCACCUUGGUCAUCAUAUCUGCGAGAUUAUCUGCUGUCGAAAUCUUCUGAAGUAGAAUUUUUCCUUUUUCAAAGACUUCCCGCACAAAGUGAUAUCUUACGUCGAUAUGCUUGGUUCUUGAAUGAUAGACUUGAUUUUUCGCUAAAUGAAUAGCGCUCUGACUGUCACAAUAUAAACUUAUGUGACUUUGAACAACUCCUAAGUCUUUCAACAAUCCAUUAAGCCAAAUAGCCUCCUUAACAGCUUCUGUAACCGCCAUAUAUUCUGCCUCUGUAGUAGAGACAGCUACUGUAGACUGUAAGGUAGACUUCCAACUUACUGGGGCUUUCGCAAGAGUAAACAGAUACCCCGUAGUUGAACGACGUUUAUCUAAAUCACCAGCAAAGUCGGAAUCAACAUAUCCAACUACAAACUGACCAAGUGCUUCAUCCUAUUCAAAAAUUAAACCAACAUCUACGGUUUUUCGAAGAUACCGUAGAAUCCAUUUCACAGCUUGCCAAUGUCCUUUUCCAGGAUCAUGCAUAUACCUGCUCACAACUCCAACAGCUCGUGAAAUGUCAGGCCUCGUACACACCAUCGCAUACAUCAAACUCCCAACUGCAUUAGCAUAUGGGACUUUCGCCAUAUAUUCUCUUUCUUCUUCAGUUUUCGGAGAUAAUUGAGCACUAAGUUUCAAAUGAGAAGCAAGUGGGGUACUUACAUGUUUUGUGUUUUCAUUUACACCAAAACAUUGUAAUACCUUUUUCAGAUAUUGCUUCUGAUUUAAACAGAGCUUGCCUCUCGGUCUAUCUCUACUUAUCUCCAUGCCGAGAAUCUUCUUGGCCUCACCUAGAUCUUUCAUCUCGAACUCUUGAUUCAACUGAGCCUUCAGCUUAUCUAUCUCAUUUUGGCUCUUCGAAGCGAUUAACAUAUCAUCAACAUACAAGAGUAGAUAAAUGAAAGAUCCGUCAUGCAGCUUCUGCAAAUAUACACAAUUGUCAUAUUUGCUUCUUGUGUACUUCUGCCUUCUCAUAAAGCUAUCAAAUCGUUUGUGCCACUGCCUCGGGGAUUGCUUCAAUCCAUAUAGCGAUUUGUUCAGCUUACAAACCCAAUUUCUACCACCAUCAUCUGUGUAUCCUUCGGGCUGAGUCAUAUAGAUCUCCUCUUCUAACUCUCCAUGCAAGAAAGCCGUCUUAACAUCAAGUUGAGCUAGCUCCAAAUUCAACUGUGCUACCAAGGCCAACAAAAUUCUAAUGGAGGAAUGCUUCACAACAGGGGAAAAUACAUCAUUGUAGUCAAUUCCCUCCUUCUGAGCGUAGCCUUUAGCUACCAAUCUUGCCUUGUAGCGAAUAUCCUUCUUGCUAGGAGAUCCAUCUUUCUUUGCGAAUACCCACUUGCAUCCGAUUGCCCUUUUACCUUUCGGUAAUUACUCUAACUCCCAAGUAUUGUUCUUCCGGAGAGACUGCAUUUCUUCAUCCAUGGCGCUUUUCCAUUUAUCACUUUCUAAGCUUUGCAUUGCUUCUUGAUAAGUGAUAGGAAUAUCAUCAACAACGGGAAGGGCGUAGGCCACCAUAUCAGUAAAUCGAGCAGGUUUACGAAUUUCUCUCCUUGGCCUUGCAACUGCAACUGGUUCUGGUGUACUUAGUGGUUCUUGGGUCAGAACCUCUUCAACCUCUAAUUCCUCCAUUGUGGCUGGAGAAUUAGACUUAUUAACUGGGCAAAUCCCCAUCUGCUCAAACUCCACCUGUUUUGGAGUACACUCCACCUGCUGUGGAGUAUUGCUCGUCUGAAUAUCUUUAUCUGCUACCUUUUUCAAUGUGGCAGAUUCAUCAAAGGUAACAUCUCUGCUACAGAUCAUUUUCUUUGUGCUUAAGCACCAAAGACGAAAUCCCUUCACUCCAGAAGUGAUUCCCAUAAAGAGAGCUUUCUUUGCCCUCGGAUCUAACUUUGACUCCUUCACAUGGUAAUAUGCAGUGGAUCCAAACACAUGUAAGGAAUCAUAAUCUGUAGCCGGUUUUCCAGACCAUACCUCCAUAGGAGUUUUUCUUUCUAAUGCAGAUGAUGGCAAACGAUUAACAAGAUGGCCAGCGUAUGUCACAGCCUCAGCCCAAAAUUACUUGCCCAACCCAGCAUUGGACAACAUACAUCGAACUUUCUCCAGCAAUGUUCGAUUCAUACGCUCUGCCAAUCCAUUCUGCUGUGGUGUAUCCCUAACUGUGAAGUGUCGAACAAUACCAUACUCUUGGCACACAUCGAAGAACGGAUCACUUUUAUAUUCCCUUCCAUUGUCCGUCCUAAGCCGCUUGAUUUUCUUGCCAGUCUGGUUUUUGAUCAUAGUUUUCCAUUUAAGAAAAACUCUAAGCACUUCAUCCUUAGUUCUCAUGGUAUACACCCAAACUCUUCUGGAAAAGUCAUCAACAAAAGUAACAAUGUAGUGUUUUCCUCCCAAUGAAGGUGUCUUGGAAGGCCCCCACACAUCUGAGUGAACAUAUUCCAAAAUACCUUUUGUAUUAUGGAUAGUAGUACCGAAUUUCACUCUCUUUUGCUUUCCCAGAACACAAUGCUCGCAAAAUUUUAAUUUGCAAGCCUUUGCACCUUUCAACAAUCCUUGCUUUGCCAGAAUUUGCAAAGAUUUUUCGCUGGCAUGUCCCAACUUCAUAUGCCACAACUGUAUUGAGUCCAAUUCUUUGUUGCCAGAAGCUGCAGCGACUGCUCCAAUAACUGUACUACCUUGGUAGUAAUACAAGUUAUUUUUCCUGAUGCCCUUCAAUAUCACAAGUGCGCCAGAUGUCACUUUCAAAACCCCAUCUCUCAUAGUAACAACUGAACCAUUGGAUUCCAGGGCUCCCAAUGAGAUGAGAUUUUUCUUCAAACUGGGCACGUACCGAACAUCAGUCAGAACUCUGGUUGAUCCAUCUUUAUUCUUUAAUUGGAUUGAACCUAUCCUAACAGUUUUACAGGCAUUGUCAUUGCCCAUAUAAACAACUCCUCCAUUUAGUUCUACUAAAUCAGAGAACCACUCCCGGUUAGGGGACAUAUGAUAGGUACAACCCGAAUCCAAUAUCCACUCAUCUGAAUGGAAUGACGAUGAUGAUGCAACCAGUGAUAGUUUAGAGUCACUGGUAUCAUGCUUUGCAACACAAGCAUCUACAGCAGCUUUUCCCUUAUUCUUCAACUUUGGACAAUUUUUCUUCCAGUGGCCUUUCUCAUGACAAAAAGCACAUUCAUCUUUCCCGAGUCUGGACUUUGACUUUGAUCUCCCCUUUUGAGUUUUCUUCCGAGUGUAUGAACGACCUCGGACUACUAAAGCUUUUGUAUCUCUGAUUGAGUUUUUCUGUUUGUCCUUCUUUCUCUGUUCAUAACUGUAUAAGGCCGCACAGACUUCGCUCAGAGAUAUAUCACUCCUGCCAUGAAGUAGAGUAGUUUGUAGGAACUCAAACUCCUCAGGAAGUGACCCCAACAGCAUCAAAGCCAAAUCUUCAUCUUUGAAUGUCUCAUCCAUAUUCAGCAAAUCAGUGACUAACUGAUUAAAUUUGGUGAUGUGAUCAUUCAUUGUGGUACUUGGGACGUAUGUGAAGCGAAACAGUCUUUUCUUCAAGUGGAGCUUAUUUUGACUGUUUUUCUUCAAAAAAAUUUCUUCAAGUGCCACCCACAACUUAUUUGCAGAAGUCUCCUUUGAAAAAGCAUACCUCUGCUCUCGAGAAAGGCAUGAUCGAAUUGUGCCACAUGCCAACCGAUUGAUCGCCUUCCAAUCUUUCUCCUGUACAUCAUCUGGUUUCUCUUCAUCAAUGGCAAUGUCUAGACCCUGCUGAAAAAGGGCAUCUAGAACCUCACUUUGCCACAUACCAAAAUGGCCCGUGCCAUCAAAGAUCUCCACGGCCAGUCUUGCAUUUGCAAUUGUCGGUCUUGUCCACAUGGACGAUGUUGAAGCUCCUACACCGACCGUUUUCUCCAUAAUCUUUCAAUAUACCUAAGAAAAUCUUUUCUGAUGUGGAAGAUCAGUUCAAACUGCAACCACAGAGUAUACUACGAUUAACCUUCGGCUCUUGAUACCACUUGUUGUUCCAAUAGGGUCGGAAGCGUGUAAAUUAUUGUACUAAAAAAAUCACACAAAGUUCAAUUCCCAGGGAAGAGAGGUGGAUCACAUGGAUCUCUUAAAUACCAAGUCUUUCCUUAGACAGAAUAUCCCUUCUAUAGUAAUUUAAUAGCAUAAUUAAAUACUACUAUUAUACCCUCAAAUAUUGAAAGAAAAAUAGGACAAGAAAGAACACAAAAGUUUUAACGAGGUUCGGUAAAUUAUACCUACGUCCUCGGGCACUAACACCAGAUGAUAACUUUACUAUCUUCAAAGUAUUACAAACAAAUAGAAUUCCUUAAGAAUUCUCAAAUGGGAGAAAAAGAAAACUAAGAGAGAAAGAUUGGUUGGGAUGAAUUGAAAUGAGAAAUGAGAAGGCCUAUUUAUAGUUGAGGUUCAAGGACCAAACAAUAAAUAGCCCAUUAUCUCAAGGACCAAAAAAAAUUAUCCCUUGCCACUUUUCCAAAGUUGGUGGUUGUCAUUAUUGAUUGUCUCCCAUUAAUGUUAAUGGCAACCAUUAUUAAUUGUCUUCCAUUAAUGUUAACAAUAAUUGCUCACAAACUAGCAUCAGAGAGUUUAAGAAGGAACAAGGAGAUUUACCUGGAAGUCGUGGUGCCGGAAUAUGCUCGGGUGUCGCUGGGAUCAUGACAUCAGAGAGAACGAGAACUCGAUUGAAGAGUGUUUUAGGGUUUCUGAAGAUCAAGGAGAACGAUAGAUAGUGAUCUUGGAGAAGACUAAUCGUGAGCCUCGGAGAACUGUAACUGACAAUAGAAGUAAUAUAAGCUUUCUAGAAAAGCUUGAAAUGGGUGACAGUUCAUUUUCAGAUUGCAUUGAGAUUUUUUUUGUUGUUUUUUUACUUUCCUUUUCCUAGAUAGAUGUUUCUGGAUUAAGGCCGUUAGUUUUCGGCCCAUUCUCUUUUGGUUUGCUUAGAUUUUGUUUUUGGAUUUAUUUAAUAUAGUUCAAUCUGAAUAUUUUUUAAUAUAUAUAUAUAUAUGUAUUCUGAAAAUUCAAUUAAAAUAUUUUAAAAUUUUAAAGAUUAGCUACAAUUAAUUAAUUAAAUUAACCUAAGGACAAAUCAUACUCUAUUAUUCCGAAACACCUUUCCUUAGUAGUACGCACAUGCCACCACCAUCUAUUCUAUGGCUAAUUAAAUAAUUAACAUAAAUAAAUUGUUAAAAAAUAUUAUUAUAUCGUCAUAGAAUUAGGCUAUCAAAUUCUCAAACUCUAGAUAGAGAAUUUUUUGGGAACAACCUUAAAAUUAGGGUAUAGAUUUGGUUUGAAAUUAAAAAUUUAAUAUUCUACCCCGUAUAUAUUAUGCUUAAGAAUAAAGGAAGGAAAUGUUCUUCGAAAAAAAAAAACCAAAGAGAGAAGGAAAUGUAUACGUAUGCGAAUAUCAUAUUUUAGAAGCAAUUUUAUAUAUAUUAAAUUACUUUAUUUGGUUGAAAUGUAAUAUUAUGUUGUUUGGGCUGUGGAAUGUAAAAUUAAUUUAAAAAGAUAUUUUAUUAAAUUAUUUUCCGUUAUAAAAAAAUAUAAAAAAAGUUAUUAAACUAUAUUUAAAACAAAAGUGAAAUAUGAAAAAAUAUAAAAAGUUAACACAAUAAUAAUAUAUAAAAGGUUUGACCCAAUCUUUGAGAAGGCCUGUAAAUUUUGUGUUGAUUUUUAAUAAUAUUCCUAGGACAGCCAAUAGGAUUACUCACGGUAAAGAAACGAGUUAUUGGAUUUUAAAGUUGAAACAUUCAUUCAUUAGCAAAAGAAGAUGAAAAAUGGAGUGUUAUUCGUACAAUUUUUCAUGGCAAUUACUCGGCAGAAAACAUCAAACAGAAAAUCCUUAUUACAGGACCAAGUUUACUGAGUUCCGUGUCUUCAACAAAUAUUUAUUCCAAUUUCAAAUGGACAACAACAAAGGGUUCACCACCUCAGUUUCUUAUGAAUCUAUUGCAUAAUGCUUUUUGAAUAAACUGCAAACAAUGUUUGAACAUUACACUAUAAAGUAAUGUUGAAUCACAUGCCGGCUUCAAGCCCUCCAUUCCAACAACAAUUAGGGAUAUGAGUUUUCCUUACCAACAAAUCCUACCCUUCAAGUUCGAGGCGGUUGGUUGGUAAAUGCCUAAUUACCUAUUGAAUUAUUCUCCUGUCCCACACCUAUCUGCUUCUUCUCAUAAUUUCUUCUGACUUGUUUUUAGUUUCUCACAUUAGAUUUCUAAUUUUAUACAAAGAUUUUCUUCAGAAAAUAUAAAGUCAGUUUUAAUCUAUUGGUUUCUCCAACAUCAUUUUGUCUGACUUGUUUUUUGUUUCUCACAUUAUAUUUUUAAAUAUAUCAUCAAUUCUUUUAUACAAUUAAACGGUAAAUUCACAAACAUAAAAUUUAACUCGAAUUUUUCAUCAAAAAGAGUUCAAUUUCAUUAACUAUGGAAAUUCAAUUGACCAAUUAUUCCCAUCUCUAUUUUUUUUCCUUAAAAGAUAAAAAUAAUUGCAAAAUAUAAAAAAAAUUAAAAAAAUGUUGAGAAAGAAGAUAUCAUUUCUUUUUACGUUUAUUUUUUUGUAUUUUCCUAUAAUUAAGAAUAAAAAAAUUAUUAAUUAGAUUCUUAACAUUAUUAAUUUUUUUUUCAAAAAUAAAAUAAAUGUGAUUGGGUUAGGUAUGGAUUAUUUUAACUUAAAUUAUGGUUGGGUUCUCUCUAUUUUGUUUAAUUUUAAGAAAAUAGUUCCUAUAUUUUUAUAGUAUCAUUAAUGAGUACAAAUAGUUAACACCCUUAGUUAUUUUGGUUUAAUUGUUGAAGCGAAAUUUUUUCUGAAAAAUACAGAUUUUAAUUUAUCAUAUAGAGAUAGAUAUUUUUGCAUGGUAGGUGUUUUAAAAAGAAAUUAUCUCCACAUUUUAUCAAAAUAGUUGUGGAUACCAAGCAUAUCUUAUGGAAAUGGAACUCUAACUUAGAAGUUUUCGAUCGGUAAGAGGUGUACAUUAGGGAUGUCCAUUGUCUCUUUAUUUAUUUGUCUUGUGUAUGGAAUGGCUCAGACAUACUAUUCUUUCCGAUGUCAACUCUGGGCGAUGGAUUCCUAUUUGUCUAUCUCGUUCAAGUCCCUCUCUUUCCCAUCUUUUCUUUGCUGACAACUUGAUUCUCUUUGGUCAAGUUGGGGAAAGUCAAGCUAGGGUUCUAAAAGAAGUGUUGGACAAUUUUUGUGACUAUUCUAGACACAGGAUUAAUGCUUAUAAAGCUAAUAUCUGUUUUUCAAAGGGAGUGAAUGAUGAGUUAGCAGGACGCGUAUGUCAUAUCCUCGGGUUUCAUAGAGUUCAAAAUCUUGGAAAAUAUUUGGGUGUUCCUCUCUUUCACGAUAGAGUGACUAACAAUUCUUUGCGUUUUAUCGUUGAUAACGUCCGUAGUAAAUUACAAAGUUGGGACACUAGGAAGUUGUCACUAGUCGGAAGGGCCACUUUGGCCCAGUCGGUUUUGAUGGCAAUUCCUAGCUAUUUUAUGCAAUCAAUGAUGAUUCCCAAAGGGCUCUGUAAUAUCCUGAUUUUGGGCCUAGUCGGAAUAGUGGUUUCGUGACCACAAAAUCCGAGAUAGAAAUAAUUAUUUUAUAAUUAUUUUGAGGUCUAUGAUAUGAUUGCAUGAUUGUGUGAAAAUUUCGUGAAGAAAUUUUAUGCAUAAAGUGCUUAAAUUGAAAUUAGGGAAUAACUCGAAUAAUUUGUAAAACUUGCAUUCUAGAAGUUUCUAGUAUGAAAUUGUUUUGAAAUAUUAAUUAGGAGGUCUUAAAUAGAAAAUUUACCAAUUUCUAAGUCUAUGGAGAAAAAUUGGACAUGGAUGGAAUUUUUGGAAAGUUUAGUAGUAAGGGCAUUUUGGUCAUUUAGGGGUAAAAUGAAUUAAAAUACAAAAUUAAAAGCCAAUUUUGCUCAUCUUCAACCCCAUGGCCGAAUACAGCAAGGAGAAACCAUGGCUAGGGUUUUUCAAGCUUCCAAGCUCGAUUGUAAGUCCGUUCUAGUCUCGUUUUUAAUGAUUUUUACAUUUUUGGAAUCCCAGUAAUUUGAUUUAACUUAUUCUAACAAUAAUUUAACCUAGGUUUUAUAUUUGGAAAAAUACCCAUAGGUGAAAUUUGUGUAUUUUGGUGUUUUAUGAUAGAAUAUAAGGUUUUAAAUUAUGUUAGACAACUUGUGCUACUCGGUUUUAAGUGAAAACGAGCAAAAGGGCUUAAUCGGUAAAAAUACCUAAUAGUCAUAAGUACAUGUUAGAGUGAGAAUUUGAUGUUGCCAUAGAAGGGAAAAAUGAUCAGCAUGUCAUAAAACAUAAGAAAAUAGGCUGAAGUUUAAUUUACGAGCUUUGGGUCAAAAGUGUAAAUAUGUAAAAGUUUAGGGGCAAAACUGUAAUUUUUCCAAAAUAUGAUUUUGGGUCAAUUUGAAUAAUGUGAGUCCUAAUUAGACUAUAUUUUAAAUGAUAGAGCAAGGAAAACUAAAAUUCGGGCUAAAAUAGGGAAAAUACCAAGUUAUGGACGAAAUGGUAAAAGUAGCAAUUUUCGCAUACGAGGUAAGUUCAUGUGUAAAUAAUGUAGCAUAAUUGUUAUUUUUAAGUUAUUGAUGUUAAUUAUAUGAUACGCUGAUUUUUAAUCGUGAAAUAUUAUGCUUUGUGGUUAAUGUUGAGUAAUAUGCAAAUUAUGUUUACUACUUGAUAAAUAUGAAUUGCUACCGAGUAUCGGUUCCGAUAUUCCAUGGAAGACGACAAAUGUGAGAUCGAGGGAAAAAGCCCGUUUGAACCUUAGGAAUAGAUUAGGAUACAAGUGACAUGUCACUAGGAUGUUUGAGCAUUCGAACUCGUUGAGUUGAGUCCGAGUUCACUUAUGGAUGCGAAUGUCUGAACUCGUUGAGUUGAGUCCGAGUUCGAGCGAUGUAACUAGGCAUCCGAGCUCGUUGAGUUGAGUCCGAGUUCACUUAUGGAUGCGAACACCCGAGCUCGUUGAGUUGAGUCCGAGUUCACUUAUGGGCGGGUUACAUGGUAGCUUGGCUACAUAUGUGGCACUUAUGUGCAAACUUUCCAUGUAUCCGAAUUAUAUUCCGAUGUGUUCAACGGGUAAAAUUCUACUCAAAUGGAGGAAUACUCGAGAUGAAAGGGACGUAUUGGUAAGUGUUGUGAAAUGAAUACUUUGAACAGGUAUGUACUUAACCCUCGGGUUGAAAACUCGAUAUAACAACAAUAUGGUAAGAUGAUAAAUGAAAAUGUGAUAUGAAUGUCUCGAUGAUGAUUUUGCAAAUGAUGUUUUAUGUUUGCUUAUAUAGUUAUGUUACUUGCUAUUUGCAUGUGAACUUACUAAGCAUUUAUGCUUACUCCCUCCUUUUCAUUCCUUGUAGUGUUGACAAGCCAGCUCGGAAAUCGGAAACGGUCAGAGGCACGCUCACACUAUCCGUAUACCAUCUUGGCAUAAUGGCUUGUAUAUUUUGAGUAUGACAUGUAUAGCAUUAUAAUCAUUUUGUGUAUAUGGUCUUAUGAUAUGGUUAUUGAGUGGUAUGGAAAUGCUUGGUAAUGAUUAGCCAUUGGAAUGGGUAAUCAUGAUCAUAUUUGGUGUUAUGUAUGCUAAAUUGCUAGCUAAUCCAUGGAAACCAUGAAAUAGGUAAAAUUUACCAUAAAAUAGAUUCAGACAGCAGCAGUGACGUGAGUUUGAAAAAUCACUAAAAAUAGUAUAGAUACAAUUAGAUGAUGAAUAAUAUAUGGAAUUGAAGAAUUAUGAGUCUAUUUUCAUAUGGAUGGAACAAAACAGGUAUAUGAGUUAUAUUUUAUGAGAUGUUUAAAUUUUUGUGAAACAGGCCCAGAGCAAUUUCUGGAUCCCCUGUUCUGACUUUGGAAAUUCACCAUAAAUUGUUCAAAGAUAAUUAGAAGUCAUAAUUUAUAUGUACAGAUUCCUUAUUGAGUCUAGUUUUAUUAGAAACAAACCUUGUAGUCAUUGAAAUUCUUUAUAGAGAGAUAUCUGAUUCGUAAUACACAGAUGUCAGAGCAGUCGAACCCUGAAACAGGGGAGACUUUAACUAAUAAAAUGUACUAAUUUUAUCAACCAAAAAUUCUAUAAAAAAAAUUAGUAAAUAUAUAUAUGAGUCUAGUUUCAGAAAAAAUUUACGGAAUUGGAUUUCGAGUUUCGUAACUCGAGAUAUGAAUUUUUAAGCGACUAUGACGCAGAUUGUUAGCUUGACUUAAAAUUUUAAAAAUAAAUUGUUUGAGCUGUUUAAGUAAUGAAUUAAGUCUAUUAACACCUCGUGUUCGACUCCGGCGACGGUCUCGGGUACGGGGCGUUACAGGCUCUAUGAGGAAAUAGAAUGAAUUGGUUAGACAAUUCAUCUGGGGGUCUUCUAAUGGUGAGAAGAAAUUGGCUUUGGUUAGUUGGGACAACAUUUGCCAACCUCGGGAUCAUGGUGGUCUAGGUUUUCGAAAGUUGAAAGAUCAUAACACCUCUUUUAUGAUGAAAUUGGGUUAUAGUAUUAUAACUGAUUCUAAGGCGCUUUGGGUUAUGGUUCUAAGGUCCAAAUACAAUAUUUCAAGUGGAUUUCCAGAAACAUUGUCGCGGGGAAGAGGUUCUUUCUUGUGGACAACCCUCACUAAAGCUUGGCCACUUAUUCGAGAGAAUUUGAUAUGGUCAGUAGGGGAUGGUACUAAAUAUUAGGUGUUUGUGUGACCCUUGGAUCUUGAAAGCGGGAUCGUUGGCUAAUAUUAUUCUUAGACAUUCCACUCUAGACAUGGAUUGUCUUUUGAGUGAUAUGGUGACAAAGGAUGACGAUUAGAACCUAGAUCUCUUUCGUCUUUGGCUCCCAAAGGAGGUGAUUUGGAAGAUUGUAGAGAUCCCUCUGCCUCAUCCGGAAGCAGGGCCUGAUAGGAUAAUUUUAGGAGGUAUCUCUACAGAUUCAUUUUCCCUAAAAAAAGCCUAUAAGAAGCUCCAAAAAAGGUUAUGGAAUCCAAAAGACCGAUGUGGCGCAUCCCCUAAAAAUUUUAAGGGCCCUGUGACAGCCCUAAAUUGACCCUAGUCGGGAAAUGGUUUCGGGACCACAAAACCGAGUCAUAAAAAUAAUUAACCGUUAUUUUCUAUGCUUAUUGUGCGUGAACAUGCAUGUGUGAAAGUUCCAAUCUUUAAUUUAUUCAUUUGAAUGUGAAUUUAUUUAAUAGGACUUAUAUAAGACAUUUUUAAAAUGUGAUAGGUUAAUGUGUAAGGGUCUAUUAAUGCAUGUUAUAAAAGUAUGGACUUGCAUGUCAAAUUGUCCAUUUUAGUUAGUGGCCGGCCAUGUUGUUAAUUAUUAUAUAACAUAGAUAUAUUUAUUUCUAUUAUAUGGUUUUAUAAUAUAGAAUAAGGUUAUUAAAGAUAGAAAAGGGGUGAAGAAAAAAAAAGAAUUCAUCUUUACUUCCUUCUAGCCGAAAAUAAGAGAGCAAAAGAGGAAAUAGCUUAAGUCUUUCGGUCACCUUUGAGCUGGAAAUUAAGGUAAGAAAUUCAAGUUAGUUUUUUUAAAUCUUAGCAUAGUUUAAGCUAGAUCCUAAGUUCCUUACUUAGCCCAUGCCAAAAUUUUGAAGUUGAUGGUGAUAUGAACAUUCGGCUAUGGAAGAUGUUAAAGAGAAUGGUUGUAAUGUUAUAUAUAUUUUGAUAGUAUAUUAGAUGGUUUGAGAUUUGAGCUAGUUACAUGUGCUAUUAUGAAGAUUUAUGGAUGUUUUAGAAUCGGCCUAAGUGUUUUAGUCAUUAAUAUAUAUAUUGCCGAAUGGAUGCUUAAGGAAUUGGUUAAGUACAUUGUUGUUAAAGCUUGUUGUUUUUGUAUAAUUGUUGCCUAGCUACUAAAUGAACUUAGGGUAUUAUAGAUAAGUUUAAGAGUGGCAUAAUUGAAAUGAAGUUUCCUUGUGCCGAAUGUGGUUUUAGUGCAUGAAUUAGGAGUUUAAUUUCAUUCGGUAACUCAUACCAAAUUGGGAGAUAGUAUUAAACAUUAGUAUUAUUUGUUAAAAAAAAAUUGAAGUGAGCUUUGAAUGGUUGUUUUGCUUAUAAUGGCUGAAUGUGAACUUAAGUUUUGAAUUACAAUUGAAGCUUGUUAGUCAGUUGAUGAUGUCCUUUGAUAGCCCUUUUGAUAUUCGGCCAUUGUUAAUGAAUUUUGAAUUAGUUAUAAAUUUCUAUGUUUUAAUUAGCAAAUUUAAUUAUUGAAGGUUGAGCUAAUUAUAUAUGAUGAUAUGCUCUAAACUCAAAUGGUAAGUUCUUAAGUGUUUGGACUUGGAAAUUUAAGAGCAAAUUGUAAUAAUCUGCUUAGGACAGCAGCAGUAGCGUGAUUUUUGAAAAUCACCAUAAAUUGUUGGAGUGGAAUUAGAGACUGAAUAAAAUAUGUAAUCAAAGCUCAAUGAGUCUAGUUUCUUAUAAAAUAAACAGUGAAAGCAAAGGAAUUUUCUAUAGAGAGAUAUUUAAAGUUGUGUGUGACAGUGUCAGAAUGAAUCCGUGAUCCCUUGUUCUGUUUUUAGAAAAUCAUUAUAAAUAGUACAAAAAUUUUUAUAAGAUAAAAUUUAUAUUCUUAGACUCCUUAAUGAGUCUAGUUUCAAAUUAAAUAAACAAGAACAUAUUUUGAAAUCUGUACAAUGAGAAAUUUGAUUCGUAGUGAAGAGUGGUCAGUAUAGUCAAACAGUGAAAUAGGGGAAACUUUAAGAAAAUUCUGGUCUUGAUUGGCCAAACCAAAAAACCUUAAAAUUUUAUGGAUAAAAGGUAAAUGAGUCUAUUUUCAAGAAAAAUUUAUGGAAACUGAUUUGGAGUUUCGUACCUCCGGUUAUAAAUAAUUUAAUGACUGUUGCUCAGGAAGUCAGCUUAUAGUGAAAUUGUGAUUAUAUUGUAAACAUUGAUUCUUAUAAGCUUACUAUAAUCUGUAUGUGUGAAAUUCGAAUAUAUAUGUAUUAUAUUCUGAAAAUGAUAUUUGAAUAGUCGAUUAAUGAUUAGUUUAAAAUUUGUUGAAUUAAAGCUCAAGAGCAUAGGGGGGCAACUUCGAAUAAGGGAGAAGAGAAAGUAACCGAGUAACCAUUUCGCAACCGUUCAAAUAUAUCCGAGGUAAGUUUUAAGUAGUUUCCUUUAGUAUAUAAUUGACGAUGCCACUAUAAGGGUAUAGUAGGUAAAUUGUGAUCUUUGGCUUGCACUUAAAUUAAGAUGUAUAAUAGAUAAUGCAUGUAUAUGACUUAUAGUUUGAUGGCCACUUUGAAUUUAAGAUUAAAUGAUGAAUAGAAUGAGUGAUAUGAGAUAUAACCACUGAGCUGAAAUGUGAAUGAUGAUGUGCGUAUCGAGUUUAUAUUCGAAUGUAAUAUACGACUAUUAAGUGAUAAGGUGACUGUCAUGUGUUAUGACCAAAUGUGUAUGAGAUUGAAAAUAUCCGGACAUGAGGUCUGCAGGCUAUAUGCUGGAAAAAUAUCCGGACAUGAGAUCCGCAGGCUAUAUGCUAGGAAUAUAUCCGGACUUGAGGUCCGCAGGCUACGUGCUGGAAAAAUAUCCGGGUUAAAGACCCGCAGGCUUACGCUAGUAAUGUAUUCCGAGCUCUAAGAUUUGACAGAACCGAUGCCAGUAAGUUAAAUAAGAUUUCGACUUCGAAUAUCAGUGGUAAACAUCGUUGCGUAAGUAUUAUAUGUUUUACAUGUUAAGGUUCGUGUUAUGUGCUUAUAGUUGAAUUGAUUUUUUUUAGUGAUUUAAUAGUAUCAAGGCACGAAAUAUAUAUAUGUGCGUGAAUGAAUUCGGUAUUUGAGGAUAAGACAAUAAUAUAAUUGGUUAAUGUAAGUCACCAUAUGAAAGAAUGUGAUUAAAGGUAUUAGUAUAAUCUAUGUAAAUAGUGAAAUAUUUGCAAGAAGUCUUGUGUAUACAUACAUACAUAUCCGGUCAAGCGGUUUGUAACUAAUGUACUGAUGUAUAUUUGGUCAAGUGAAUUACAAUUAGAAUACAAGUUUUGUGAUACUCAAUGUUCAAUUUUUAUGAUGAGCAUUAAUAGUAUGAAUUACUUAAAACUUACUAAGCCUCGAAAGCUUACUCUGUUUCUUAUUUCUUUGUUUUAUAGAUUGUUGAUUUUGGCUAUUGACUCGGGGAUCGUCAGCAGUUCUUCAUACUAUCGAUCUUUUUGGUACAGUUAUAUUUUGGACUCGAUAUAGCAUGUAUAGGUUGGACUGUUGACAAAGAAAAAAAACAAAAAAAAAUAUGUUUUAAAAUUGUAAUUAUCUUGGCCGUAUGAAAAUGGCACUUAUGACUUAUAAAUAUGUAUGUAUUCAGUUCGAUUUAUACUUGUGUCGGUAGAUUAUGUGAUUGAAAUUAAAUGUUUAGCUUGGUAAUACCUCAUAGCCUAUACCGGCGAUCGGAUACGGGCUAGGGGUGUUACAGGCCCCAACAGGUUAGGUUCUUUAUUUGGCUUGCUUUCAAUCAACGCCUGCUUACCAAGAGGGAACUCGCACGAUGAAGACUAGGGCAUGAUUCAGUAUGUGACGUUUGUGGUCAUGGUUCAGAGGAUGUGUGUAAUACCCCCUACCCAUAUUCAUUACCGGAGUAGGAUACGAGGUAUUACCGGAGUUUACGAUUUUUUUUAUAUUCAAUAUAGCCCCUUUAUAAAUAUCUAACCUUCCCUGCAACAUUAAAUCGAGACCAAUCCACUUCAACCAAACCAAUUCAACAUAUUUUCAAGAUAAAUUCAUGCAUAUUUAUAAGAUAACGUCAUCACAUACCCAAAACUAGGUUUGUUAACCAUACUAAUGGCUAACUUUAUAUUCAUUUCAUGUUAACAUUUACUUUAUUAGCUUAUACAUGCCAUUGAUUUCCAAAAUAAAGUUUCUUUAUAUACCGAAAUCCUGAGGUUGAUAGUGUGAUGUGUCUCCGACCAAAUCCGACCUCCAAGCUCUUAACACUACAAAACAGGGAAAAAGGAAACGGGGUAAGCACUUCGUGCUUAGUAAACUCAUGUAACAAAAAUUAUACUUACCUAAUAUUUUCAAUACAAUACAAUAAAUAUUCAUAUAUCCAUUCAAUGCAGUAUUACCCUAAUAUGCACAAACUCAACAUUCAAGUUAGUAUAAUAAUUUCCAUGUACCAAUAAUAUAUACCAUCAUUGAUGAGCUCAUCAAUAUCAUAAUUUCCAUUUCCUUGUUAUUUUUCCAUAUUUAUCCCGUUGAAUUUAUCGGAAUUUCGAUGGAUUUUCAGAGGUACACUUUUAGUGUACAAUUCCGGGUCCGUCAAUUCAUAUUCAUGUGCGCACAUUUCCAUUUCAGAGAGCACACUCCCGCGAACCUUAACCUUGCAGCGGGAUUACCAGUCCAGGCUAAAUCCCCUGCAACGACAAUUACUCUAAUGAUCUUGGAUCUGAAUUACUAGUCCAGGCUAAAUUCAGACCCUAAUUCGGAUUACCCGUACGGGCUAAAUCCAUUUUACACAUAUUCUUCGGGAGGGCUAUAUCAGGAUAGGAUCACCCGUCCGGGCUAGAUCCUUUUUACCGUCAAUUCCUUUUCAGAGAUCCAUCGAAUUUUCCUUUCAUUCAAACGGGAUUUCUUCCCAUUUUAUCAAAUAUAUCAAUGUUUCAUUAAUUUUCAUACAAUGAACAUUCAAAUCAUAUUCACAUCAAUAACAUACAAUCUCAAGCAAUUUAAGAAUAUAAUUCAAGUUGCACGAACUUACCUUGAUACUUGUUUGUAAACAAAAAAAAAUCUACUAAUCCCGAACUUUUUCCUUUCCUCGAUCUAGCUUCGUAUUUGAAUCUUCUGGAUCUAAAUAAAUAAAUUUAAUUAUCAAUUUAAUACAUUUCAUGUUCAUAUGCAACAUUCUCUAUAAUUCAACUAUUAUUAUUUAUAGUUUAUUCAAAGCUAUCUAUUUGAGUCAUAGUCACUAAUUAUUUAUAACUCGAUCUACGGAACUCCAAAUUAAGAUCCGUUAGUUUUCCCUGAAACUAGACUCAUAUAUAUUCUUACCAUAAAAUUUUUAGAAUUUUUAGUUUAGCCAAUAAGUACAGUUUAUUCUUUAAAGUCACCCCUGUUCUGCUGUCUGACAGUUCUGACCCUUCUUCACUAAAAAUUAAUUAUCUCUUCAUACAGGAUUCAAAUGAUGUUCUUGUUUGUUUCUAUUAAAAAUAGACUCAUUAAGGAUUUUAUGCAUAUAAAUUUGAGCCCCUAAUUAUUUUUAUUCAAUUUUUUUUUAUUUUUCAAAUUCAGAACAGGGGAACCCGAAUUCAUUCUGAUCUUGUCUCACAAAAUUCAUUAUAUCUCAAAAUUUACAAAUCCAUUGCUUACACUAUUUCUUCUAUGAGAAACUAGACUCAAUAAGCUUUAAUUCCAUAUUUUGUUCAUCUUCUAAUUCGAUUUAUAAAAUUUAUGGUGAUUUUUCAAAGUUAGUCUACUGCUGCUGUCCAAACUGUUUUUGUGCAAGCUGUUUAUUACCAUUUUUCCCCUAAGCUUUUAAUAAAUGAUAAUUUCGUCCCUACUCAAUUAGCCUCUCAAUUGAGCUGAUUUUUCUCAAUUAAAAUUUUAUUAUAUCACCUUAAACUAGUUUACAACCUUUAGGAAUCAUAAUUUCAGCAAUAGACUUUAAUUCCAAGCAUUUUCACAAUUAGGUCCUAAAAAUCAAUUUCUAUUGAAAUUACCUAAUAAAAUCAUCUCAUAAACAAAUUAAAGCUUUAAUUUCAUUAUAUUUCAUCAUAAAAUUACAAAAAUCAACCAUGGUGACUUUCAAUUUCAUACAUGAAAUCAAAAACUAAUGAAUUUAAUAGUAGGACCUAGUUGUAAAAGUCUUAGAAACAUAAAAAUUACAAGAUAAAGGCAAGGAUUAACUCACUUGGUGAAAAAGUAUGAAAUAGCAGCUUAUAUAACCCUCCUAUGGCGUUUUUAGCUGCUGGAAUUGAAGAGAAAUGAAGAGAAAUUUAGAUAUUUCCUAUUUAGUCCUAGUUUUAUUUAGUUAAUUUUGCAAUAUUCCAAUUUUGCCCUUAAUUUAUCAAUUUUCCUGCUGAUUUCAUGCCCUUUCUGUCCAGCCAUAAUAAAUUUUGGGUCUAAUUUCCUUUUAAAACCUUUAUCAUUAGACUCUUAAGCUAUUUAAUCAUUCUAGCAACUUUUACACCUAUUACAAUUUAGUCCUUUUCAUUUAAUUGACUACCCAAACAUUAAAAUUUCUUACGAAAUUUUAAUACCACAUUACUAACAUUUCAUAAAUAUUUAUAAAAUUAUUUUAGACUCGGUUUUACGAGAUAGAGGUCUCGAUACCUUGUUUUUACCCAAUUUCUUUAAUAAUUUCUUUUUCUAACUAACCACUAAAUCGGUAAAAUUUUUUCUAUCAAUAUUUUCAUAUGAUUUUCCUAUCAUAUCAAUUUUCAUGCAAAAAUAUUGAAAUAAAUUUCUCUUUAAAUUGGAUUUGUGGUUACGAAACCACUAUUACGAUAACCUUGAAUUUAGGCCAUUACAAUGUGCUUCAUGUUAUUAGGGAUUGUCCUGCAACGAGAAAUAUUUAGGAUCAUCUAAUUCCAGUCGAAUGGUAUUCUAUGUUCUAUGCAGGAAAUUUAUAUGAGUGGCUUGUGUUAAACUUGGAAAAUUAGCAUGGUUGGUGCUUCGGAGAUGUAGAUUGGCAAUAUCUAUUUGGGAUCAUCGCUUGGCAUAUUUAGAAGAAUCACAAUCUUUUCCUUUUCCAGGGUGCUCCAUGGAGUGAUAAUGAAACUAUUAAGGUGACGUAUAGUUGGGCAAAACAAUACGUCUCUUCUACAAGGGGCAUGUCAACUGAAACACGAUGUAAGUUUUCAUCUUCAUAUUUAACUAACGAUUGGGUCACAUUGAGUAAAGAUGGAUCUAUCUAGAAAGAAGUUGGUUUUGCGGCGGUAGGGGGAAUAGUGCAAGAUCAAGGUGGAACGUGGAUUCUUGGAUUUAAUAGAUAUUUGGGAAAUUUUUUUGUUUUUUAUGCUGAGUCGUGGGGUAUUUUGGAUGGUCUGAUUAUUUUAAGUGAACGGGGCUAUGACAAUGUGUUAAUUCAAUCUGACUAUCUUGAGCCGGUUACGACUAUUCAAGAGAGGUCUUCAGAAGGAUCCAAUUAUACUUUGGUUAGGAGAAUUCAUUAGAUGUUGUCAUGGUUCAAACAGUGGAGCUUUAGACACAUUUCUAGCAAGGAAAAUCAGGAUGCUGAUCAUAUGGUCAAUCUAGUCCAACAUAGAACUAAAGAUUUACGUUUGUUUGAGAUCUCCUAGUUUGAGGGAUUGGUCUGGUUUUUGUUAUAAGUUUAUUUAUUUUACUUUUUCACCAAAAAAAAAAGUUGUGGAUAAUAAAUAUUUAAACUAAUUAAUAUCAUUACAAAAAUAGAUAAUUAAAUUAUGUUAAAUUAAAAUAUAAAGAUUAAAUCAAAAUAUGAUGAUAGUAUAGAUUAAGUUGCUCCAUUAUAGUGCAGCAUGAAAAAGGACAACGGAAAAGAGUUAGGCGGGUUUAGACUUCUUGCUUUUCUUUUUGUUUUCUCUCUUGUGAUCCACGUCCGUUACAUAAAUUAUUUCAAAUUCCUUUUCAUCAAAUGUGAUUACACCUCUUUCGUCAAAAGUUUGAAAAUCCUCUUUGUAAUGUUAAAUAAGCCCUUAAAAUCUACCUUUUUUUAUUAUUAUUUACGUUUUUUCAGACUUUUCUUUUUGGUAUAAUAUUAUCUAAUAAUUAUGUGUUAGAUAUCACAUUCUUACUUAAUCACAUUAAUUUUUUAAAUAAAAUUGAUAUUUUUAUUUUUAAAAAAAAGGCAAGUUUGUAUGUUCUUAUAUGAGUUUUUUUUAAUAUAUCUUUUAAUAGAAACUUUUUAAUCGUCGGUAUUACUAGGAUAUGUUUUAAUUAAUCGAUCAACUAUCAUAUAUUAAUUUCUCUAAACACAUAUUAGAAUUUGAUAGUCCAAAUUUACCGGCAUUAUUCUUUUAUCCUUCAAAUCAGAGUCAUUGGCGGGACUUCCUUUUAAGAUAUCCUCAAGCAUAUCAGUUACAACCUUGCUAUCACAUUCAAUUAUUGUUUUAUAAUAGCUCCUCAGUCGAACUCAAAGUAAUAAUUGCCCACAAUUCAGCGGUAAGCACAGAACUUGUGUUGCUGGUAAUCUGCUGGAAAAUAAUUGCCCAUUCUCAUCAUCAAAUUGCCGAAGGGAAUCACAAGAAAUAGGAAACAAACCAAGGCUAAAACCAACAUGAUUUGGUAGCCUAAAUCAUCAUCUCUUUUGAAAUGACCAUAUCUUCUGUGAUAUCGCUUCAUUUUCUAUACAAUAUAGUACUAUCCUGGACCACCUUUCUUUUUUCAUAAAAAGAUUAAUAAUAAGAAGAAGAAGAAAAAAUAAUAAUAAUAACGUCGAGUGUUAUUCCCUAAUGCCUAUAUUAUUACUUUGAAGAACCUCUUCAGAGUGGCUGGUAAUCUGCUGGAAAAUAAUUUUGUUCCUAUUCUUCCACAAAAACCAACAAGCGACAGCAAACGUUACACCCUAAUCUGCUAUCCUCGAAUUCAAAGUAAGUGAGAAAAAUGAUAUAAUUUAGAGCUUAAUUUUAUAAUUAAGGCAAUAAUUAUUCAAAGUAAAAUUUAGAUGGGAUUCCAAAUAAAAGAAAUUAACUCCUCAAUUAGCACUUGCUUGAAG
This 32756-nucleotide long non-coding RNA is filed under the name Gossypium barbadense (sea-island cotton). RNAcentral's name for it is "long non-coding RNA (GBAR_LNC009986)". The record is from RNAcentral. Lineage: Eukaryota; Viridiplantae; Streptophyta; Magnoliopsida; Malvales; Malvaceae.